Molecule: ribosomal RNA, 439 nt
Filed under: uncultured bacterium
Lineage: Bacteria
Description: partial 16S ribosomal RNA
Rfam family: Bacterial small subunit ribosomal RNA
Source: RNAcentral
CUACGGGUCGCUCCAGUGGGGAAUAUUGGACAAUGGGCGCAAGCCUGAUCCAGCAAUGCCGCGUGAGUGAAGACGGCCUUAGGGUUGUAAAACUCUUUCGCUAGGGAAGAUAAUGACUGUACCUAGUAAAGAAGUCCCGGCUAACUCCGUGCCAGCAGCCGCGGUAAUACGGAGGGGACUAGCGUUGUUCGGAAUUACUGGGCGGAAAGAGUUCGUAGGCGGACUGACAAGUUAGAGGUGAAAUCCCAGGGCUCAACCCUGGAACUGCCUUUAAAACUGUCAGUCUAGAGACCGGAAGAGGUUAGGGGAAUACCUAGUGUAGAGGUGAAAUUCGUAGAUAUUAGGUGGAACACCAGUGGCGAAGGCGCCUAACUGGUCCGGUACUGACGCUGAGGAACGAAAGCGUGGGGAGCAAACAGGAUUAGAUACCCGUGUAGUC